UUCUUAAAUCUUCUGUUAUUGAACUUGAUAUUUAUAUAAAGUCACUCAAAAUAAUUCACAAUCUCUUGUUAUUCAACCAACAAUUUGUAAAUAUCAAAUCAAAUAUACUGUUAUUGAAAAUUUCACUAUUUUUUCAUAAACGAUUACUAAAACUGAUUUUAGGAGACUUUAUACACUUUUUUAGUUGAAAAAUAUGACUGCAAAAUCACAUCUCUAUAGGUGAAACUUUGAAAGACUUCCAAGAAAAACAAUUGUAUCGAGAAAAAAGUAGAGCUAUUGACCAAAUUUAUUUUCACUCUAUUGACACCUCUCGAAGUGAUAGUUUUCCAUCUCUUGUCUUCUUCCAUUGAACUUGCAGUUCCAGGAACAAUCGCAUAGAUAAUUGAAGGAUUUCGCGUCGCGUCGCUCCUUGUCACUCUCUCCAAUUGCUAUCUGCCAAAAUCCUUUGAUUAUUUUUGGAUUUCUCUUGAAAUCUUUCGAGAGUUCAGAUGUCGUUGAAAUCACAACUAGCUAGUUCUGUCAUCACACUCUCUUCUCUGCAUUCUCUAAAUAACAAAGAAAAGGCUUCUUCUUGUGUCUUCUCUGGUGUUCUUAUUUACAGAACUGGGUUUUGAUGCUUCUUCGGUGUGUUAUUAAAAAAACCAGUUUUGGGAUUAUAUGAUUGCUAGUGUUCUGUUUUUGUUAGUCUUUUUGAGUAACGAGCUCUUACUUUCUCUUUUAUGUUAAUUUCCUAUGCUUUUUUUUUUUGUAUGGCAUGGCAAAUCUUAGCCAGGUAGCCCCAUUAGACUCUUGUGAACUCUUACCGUUGUGUUUCAUGUGCUAUUAAAUAAGGGCAUUCUGCCUAAUCUCCUGCAGGUGUUAGGUUCUAUGAUACCAAUGAGGAGGAGCCUCUGUUAAGUUCUAUGAUGUCUUUACAAAUUCGAGUCCAUGCCAUUAACUUGCAUGCUUUACUAAAAAUUUGGGUGGGAAAUUGAUCAGUAUGAUUCUCUUUGCAGCCACAUGCAUGUUGAUUUUAGAUUGAAAUUGCAUGGUGGAGAUCUCAUGAAGAGAGUUGCUAGCGCUGAUCCACGGGCUGCACCAUUAAAAUAAGGCUCAAGACCUCAAAGACAUACACAAAAAGGCAACAGACAUGUAAAAUCAACAGUCCCAAGCGUACUUCUCAUCAAUCAAAUCCUCUUUUACUCCAGAACGAUAACAACAUCGAACAUGAAAAAUUACUUGCUUAGAGAAUCACAACCUCGGUGUAUUAAAAUCCCAGCUUUCUUGUUCUUUUUUGGUGUUGAGUUCUGUUACUUUCAUAUACUGUUUCUUUUGGAUUUACAAAAUCCUCACCUAUCCUUAUAGGAACAUCUGUAACUUUUUCAUAUAUUAUCUCUUGAAAUAAGUUCGUAGUUAUUUUAUCACUUUUGCUUUGCAGAAUAUAUAAAGCAAUGAAUGAGAAGAAGUCUACAAGAGGCUUCAUGAGUCAAACAAUUGAGGAAGUCCAUGAAGAUACUCUCUUUUCCUAUGUGCACUUCCCCUUCACAUGUUCUCGUUUUCAUUGAUGGGAGAAUACAUAUGCUGAAUUCGUAUAAUUGAGUCAUGUACUCUUCUUUGCUCGUUGAGCUA
Arabidopsis lyrata subsp. lyrata is the source of this 1608-nucleotide long non-coding RNA. RefSeq lists it as uncharacterized. NCBI's taxonomy places the organism in Eukaryota, Viridiplantae, Streptophyta, Magnoliopsida, Brassicales, Brassicaceae. The record is from RefSeq and is a predicted model, not a curated record. The transcript is spliced from 2 exons.